This 406-nucleotide ribosomal RNA is filed under the name uncultured bacterium. Its description in RNAcentral is "partial 16S ribosomal RNA". It matches the Rfam family "Bacterial small subunit ribosomal RNA", at positions 30 to 526 of the family's 1533-position model. The record is from RNAcentral.
AUUGAACGCUGGCGGCAGGCCUAACACAUGCAAGUCGAACGAGUGGCGGACGGGUGAGUAAUGUCUGGGAAACUGCCUGAUGGAGGGGGAUAACUACUGGAAACGGUAGCUAAUACCGCAUACCAUCGGAUGUACCCAGAUGGGAUUAGCUGGUAGGUGGGGUAACGGCUCACCUAGGCGACGAUCCCUAGCUGGUCUGAGAGGAUGACCAGCCACACUGGAACUGAGACACGGCCCAGACUCCUACGGGAGGCAGCAGUGGGGAAUAUUGCACAAUGGGCGCAAGCCUGAUGCAGCCAUGCCGCGUGUAUGAAGAAGGCCUUCGGGUUGUAAAGCACUUUCAGCGGGGAGGCGUUACCCGCAGAAGAAGCACCGGCUAACUCCGUGCCAGCAGCCGCGGUAAUAC